Non-coding RNA from Ictidomys tridecemlineatus (thirteen-lined ground squirrel), 72 nucleotides. Lineage: Eukaryota; Metazoa; Chordata; Mammalia; Rodentia; Sciuridae. The record is from Rfam.
GGGGUUGUGGCUCAGUGGUGAAGUGCUCACCUAGCAUGUGUGAGGCACUGAGUUAGAUCCUCAGCACCCAUA